RNAcentral lists this ribosomal RNA (409 nucleotides) under bacterium. RNAcentral's name for it is "partial 16S ribosomal RNA". It matches the Rfam family "Bacterial small subunit ribosomal RNA", at positions 355 to 776 of the family's 1533-position model. The record is from RNAcentral.
UGGGGAAUAUUGCACAAUGGGCGAAAGCCUGAUGCAGCGACGCCGCGUGAGGGAUGACGGCCUUCGGGUUGUAAACCUCUUUCAGUAGGGACGAAGCGCAAGUGACGGUACCUGCAGAAGAAGCACCGGCUAACUACGUGCCAGCAGCCGCGGUAAUACGUAGGGUGCGAGCGUUGUCCGGAAUUACUGGGCGUAAAGAGCUCGUAGGCGGUUUGUCACGUCGUCUGUGAAAUCCUAGGGCUUAACCCUGGACGUGCAGGCGAUACGGGCUGACUUGAGUACUACAGGGGAGACUGGAAGUUCUGGUGUAGCGGUGGAAUGCACAGAUAUCAGGAAGAACACCGAUGGCGAAGGCAGGUCUCUGGGUAGUAACUGACGCUGAGGAGCGAAAGCAUGGGGAGAGAACAGG